This 253-nucleotide ribosomal RNA is filed under the name uncultured bacterium. Its description in RNAcentral is "partial 16S ribosomal RNA". It matches the Rfam family "Bacterial small subunit ribosomal RNA", at positions 524 to 776 of the family's 1533-position model. The record is from RNAcentral.
UACGAAGGGGGCUAGCGUUGUUCGGAAUCACUGGGCGUAAAGCGCGCGCAGGCGGUCUUCCAAGUCAGUGGUGAAAGCCCGGAGCUCAACUCCGGAACUGCCAUUGAAACUGUGAGACUUGAGUACGAGAGAGGUGAGUGGAAUUCCCAGUGUAGAGGUGAAAUUCGUAGAUAUUGGGAAGAACACCGGUGGCGAAGGCGGCUCACUGGCUCGUAACUGACGCUCAGGCGCGACAGCGUGGGGAUCAAACAGG